UGUUUUCGGUGUCUCUGCAGAUUCAUAAUACUCAGAUGCUCAGUAGCACGGCCCAAAGGGCAUCACAAGUGAUGCCCUAGAGACAUGAGAAAUAAACCCAGAAGAAAUGGUGAUAAUAAUAUCGACAGAAGUUGAUCUCAGCGAUGAGGUCGAAGAGGAACUGGAAAAAUUAUGGACCACCAUCUUGGUUUUCUUCAUUCUCUUCCUCAUCAGUGUGUGUUACAGCACCACAAUGACACUCUUCAAGGUAAAAUGGAUUUUCUCCACUGUGGCAGACCUGAAGAAGCAGCCUGUAGGCCCUGAAUACAAGAAUGUCAUCCCACAGACAUUCUAGAAGCAUUUUCCUAGGAAUCUCAUCCUCCAUCUUCAAAGGUGCAAAGAGGAAGCCACUGCCUGGAGCCGCAGCUUCAUCUCCCAUGUCAACAUCCAAGGCCCUCUCUCAUUUCCUAUCUUAUUCAGCUCCUACUUCUCUCCUGGCAAGUGAUGAGGCCCUUUCAGCACAGCGAUUGUCUUAGGGGGAGGUAAUUAUCCUGAAUGGCAUGUGUUGGGACAGUGCCUUCAAGAGGAAACACUUUUAUGGGGCCCGAUAUCUUAAUUGGCUUCCACCAAGAGUCAGAAACAUCUGCUUCUCCCACCCAGUAAAGAACCGAAGGACAGUCACCCCCACAAAUAAAAAGGUGCCAUUUCAGUGGUGGUGCCCCUGUUGUGGAAUGGUCUCCCUAGAGAUAUUCUGCUGGCACAGGUGAAUAAAUACUAACAGGUCAAUAAUACAUUCUACUCCCAGGCUUUUAAGCAGUGGUAGUUUUACUCUUAUUGUUGCUUUUGCUGCUCUUAUUUUGUGGGGGGUUUUAAAAAAAUAUUUUACUAUUUUAGAUUUAGUGUGCAUGUGUGUGUAUAUAUAUAUAUAUAUAUCUUACUGUGUGCUUUUAAAUAUUUCAUUAUUUUGAAUCUAGUCUUCAUGUUUGAGAGGCAUACCAUCCUGGCAGUUUUUGCUUUUUUAUGAAUGUCUGGUGUCUCUAGCCCCAACAUGCCUGACACUAUCUGGCUUCUAACUUCACCCAGAGAUGUGAAACUCCACUUUCCAGUAUCUUUGCCAGGCCUCUUUAACCAUAUGAAAUAAAUAUCCUUAUCUAUCUACGUGCAAUACGCUCAAAUAAGCCAGCUCUUUUACCCAUCUCUUACACACCAUUUCCUUACUGCCACGGGAUUGUAGUCAGCCAAGUUCUACUCAGAUAAGACCAACUUAAACUAAGGUAGGCAUGCCCAUUGACUUCAACUGGUCUACUCUGAGUAAGACUAGCACAGGAUACAGUCUAUGGUCUUCAAACUACCAGUGACUACCAAUCCCUUAAUCCAUUGCAUACUCAUUUAUUGGAGGUUGUUAAGCAGAGAAUAGCUACCUAUCUGGGAUCAUAUAGCAAUAGAUUUCUGCACCAUUAGGGGGCUGGGCUGGAUAUCCUUUGAGGGCCUUUCCAGUUGAUGCAGGUUUUGUGAUCAUUACUGUUUUUAGUGCACAAGCAUCCCAGAAACAAUAUGCAAGAAGUGCUAAUGAUGUGAACCUUCCAAUCCCUGUAUAUGCAUGUAAAUAAA
This is a non-coding RNA of Podarcis raffonei (Aeolian wall lizard), 1590 nucleotides long. NCBI's taxonomy places the organism in Eukaryota, Metazoa, Chordata, Lepidosauria, Squamata, Lacertidae. The record is from the annotation of a RefSeq genome assembly.